Molecule: ribosomal RNA, 203 nt
Filed under: uncultured bacterium
Lineage: Bacteria
Description: partial 16S ribosomal RNA
Rfam family: Bacterial small subunit ribosomal RNA
Source: RNAcentral
UACGAAGGGGGCUAGCGUUGCUCGGAAUGACUGGCGUAAAGGGCGCGUAGGCGGAUUGCUUUGUCGGGCGUGAAAUUCCAGGGCUUAACCUUGGGGCUGCGUUCGAGACGGGUGAUCUUGAGUUCGGAAGAGGGUCGUGGAAUUCCCCAGUGUAGAGGUGAAAUUCGUAGAUAUUGGGAAGGAACAACCCGGUGGCGAAGGCG